RNAcentral lists this long non-coding RNA (1439 nucleotides) under Capra hircus (goat). RNAcentral's name for it is "lncRNA (ENSCHIG00010014562.1)". Lineage: Eukaryota; Metazoa; Chordata; Mammalia; Artiodactyla; Bovidae. The record is from RNAcentral.
UAACUUUCUUAAUAUUGUGCCAGUAAUGUAUAUCUCUCUAGAUAGAAAGUCAGUUUUCUAUCCUUUUUUUUCCUUUAGAAAAUCUUAGUGUAAGUGGAAAUAUAACAGUAUAAUACUAAACUGGAUACCUGUAUAGUACCAUUCUUACCAAUAAACAGCUAGGUUUUAUAAACAUCUAGGUCUAUCACCUGAAGUAUUAAUCAGGAAUCAAGCAAUUUGACCACUGACUUCACACAUAUACAUGCCUAUGUGGAUGCCAUACAGAUUAUGUGCGCCUUUCCUAAGUCCCUGGGAUUUCUCUCUCUCUCUCUUUUCUCCCCCUUUUCAGGCAUCUAAGUGUAUGGAAUUCUAUUCUUUGAUUGGAGUCAGAAAAGACAUACGCAUUCACUAGGGAAGUCAAUUUGUUAGCAGCAAGUAUUUGAAACCAAAGAAGUAUCUGAUUUAAUGAAAGCAGACAUUCACUCAUACUUUAAAAACACAUAAUUUUUUUUAAGUGAAAGCAAGUUAAAGAAGCAUUUCUUUAUGUUUUCAUGAUCAGAAUGGAUCUGUAUUUGUUAUGUUCCUAAGACACAAACACACUCUGCUUAGAUCAGAGCACACUCCAAUGCCUUUGCUCCACAGCCCACCCCACUCCCAAUAAAUCACUAUUUCCUUAUGCAUUACACAUUGAAUACAAACGUGCCACCUUUACUAUGCUGUAGGGAGAGGGGCAAGAAGAUUAGCUAUAUAACUUGUCAUUUACCUCUUUCUCUAUGAUACAGCCCUCUUCCUAUUUUCAUCACUUUAACUAAAAAUGAAUCUAGAGCUCUUGUCAGUGACAUAAUGUUUUCAUGAAAGUUCUACUAAUUAAAAAUCCUCACCAUACCAGACCUAAAAAAUGAGCACACUCUUGCCAAGUGUUAUUCACCACAGAGAAGCUCUUGUAGUUACAUUUUAAAGGAGGACCCAGAGGAAGAUGCUGCGGAGGGAGAAAGUCUACUAACAUAUACAUUGAGGUUUACCAGUUGUCAGCAUCAGAGGGACAGACUAUUUUUAAUAGAGAUCCUUCAAGAAAACAACAACAAGAAGAAAAAAAAAGAAAAGAAAACAUCCAUCUCCGAACAGCUGAGCAUAAGACAUGUGCAGUUUCGGAUAAUAGAAGCUUUUACUGGAAUAAAGAACCACAAUUACAGGAAAUAGAUCUGUUUUUUUNNNNNNNNNNNNNNNNNNNNNNNNNNNNNNNNNNNNNNNNNNNNNNNNNNNNNNNNNNNNNNNNUUUAAUGAUAAGGAGAUGGUGGUUUUUAUUGCAUUGGCAGGAAAACACUUUCAGACUACUGCUUUUGCCCAUACUUACAGUGCUAUCAAUAGUUACUUGUCGGGGACAUGCAUUUAGUCUUGCAAUGUGCUGCAUUAAUUUAACACCACAUAAAAUAUGGAUUUUAUUGCAGCAGAGACAAUAA